UGAGGAAUAUUGGUCAAUGGACGCAAGUCUGAACCAGCCAAGUAGCGUGCAGGAUGACGGCCCUAUGGGUUGUAAACUGCUUUUAUAUGGGGAUAAAGUGGGGAACGUGUUCCCUUUUGCAGGUACCAUAUGAAUAAGGACCGGCUAAUUCCGUGCCAGCAGCCGCGAUAAUACGGAAGGUUCGGGCGUUAUCCGGAUUUAUUGGGUUUAAAGGGAGCGUAGGCCGUUUGGUAAGCGUGUUGUGAAAUGUAGGAGCUCAACUUCUAGAUUGCAGCGCGAACUGUCAGACUUGAGUGCGCACAACGUAGGCGGAAUUCAUGGUGUAGCGGUGAAAUGCUUAGAUAUCAUGAAGAACUCCGAUUGCGAAGGCAGCUUACGGGAGCGCAACUGACGCUGAAGCUCGAAGGUGCGGGUAUCGAACAGG
RNAcentral lists this ribosomal RNA (424 nucleotides) under Verrucomicrobiota bacterium. Its description in RNAcentral is "Verrucomicrobia bacterium partial 16S ribosomal RNA". It matches the Rfam family "Bacterial small subunit ribosomal RNA", at positions 355 to 776 of the family's 1533-position model. The record is from RNAcentral. Lineage: Bacteria; Pseudomonadati; Verrucomicrobiota.